AAGGCUUGACAUGUGCCGGAAAAGUGCAGAGAUGUGCUCCCCGCAAGGUCGGUACACAGGUGGUGCAUGGUUGUCGUCAGCUCGUGUCGUGAGAUGUUGGGUUAAGUCCCGCAACGAGCGCAACCCUCGUUCUAUGUUGCCAGCACGUGAUGGUGGGGACUCAUAGGAGACUGCCGGGGUCAACUCGGAGGAAGGUGGGGAUGACGUCAAAUCAUCAUGCCCCUUAUGUCUUGGGCUUCACGCAUGCUACAAUGGCCAGUACAAAGGGCUGCGAUACCGCAAGGUGGAGCGAAUCCCAAAAAACUGGUCUCAGUUCGGAUUGGGGUCUGCAACUCGACCCCAUGAAGUCGGAGUCGCUAGUAAUCGCAGAUCAGCAACGCUGCGGUGAAUACGUUCCCGGGCC
RNAcentral lists this ribosomal RNA (403 nucleotides) under uncultured bacterium. RNAcentral describes it as "bacterial SSU rRNA". It matches the Rfam family "Bacterial small subunit ribosomal RNA", at positions 976 to 1380 of the family's 1533-position model. The record is from RNAcentral.